CUUUAAUGGAGAGUUUGAUCCUGGCUCAGGACGAACGCUGGCGGCGUGCCUAAUACAUGCAAGUCGAGCGGGGUUGUUGUAGAAGCUUGCUUCUACAAC
This 99-nucleotide ribosomal RNA is filed under the name Paenibacillus terrae. Its description in RNAcentral is "partial 16S ribosomal RNA". It matches the Rfam family "Bacterial small subunit ribosomal RNA", at positions 1 to 92 of the family's 1533-position model. The record is from RNAcentral. Lineage: Bacteria; Bacillati; Bacillota; Bacilli; Caryophanales; Paenibacillaceae.